AGUUUCCUCCGGAAUUCAUUCCAGUCACCGUCCUUGAUAUGGAUUGGAUGUCGCUAUAAAGAAACCAAGAAGGUGGCAUUAGUCUCCUAGAAAUCAAGAAGAAAAUCACAGAGACCCCAGCAUGGAAAUGGGUGCAGCAUGUGAGCUGUGAGUGCCCCAAACACAGAUGGCCCAGGAACUCAGCAAAGGCUUCCACUUCUUGUUUGACCCAAGAAAUGUCAUGCAAAGGAACUCCUGCAAACCUUGCCCAUCUCCACACCUACACCCCAGGGAAGCUGCCACCUGGGCUGGGAUGCCCACUGCCCCAGGCUGAGCAAGGGCACUUCUUUGGGGAGCUAAAAUCCUUCAGCCCCUGGACCAUCACCCUCUUUUCUCAGAGAAAGCCCUCCUCCCAGGCCUGCUCUUUCAUCAGUACUCAGCUCAAGAAGAUGCCAGAGGUCUUCUCCUUUGCAGAGCCUGGAUCCACUUUCUCAAAUCCCCAGGCACCCAGAGGCAAGUAGGGCAGAGACAUCUUUGCUGAAGGCCCUGUGAAGCCCAAGAGCACAAGAGAUUUGCCCUGGCCUGAGGGGGCUCCCAGUACAAAGGACUUUUAGCUUUAAAAAACCAGGAUGGGUCCAGGCAAACCUCACUGUAGUGAGGAUCUCUAUGCUGUCCCUGAUUGGUGAGUCUCUCGUCUAUACAUAGAACCUUACAUUUGGCUUCAUUUGUAGGAGUUUAGUUUGAAACAUUUACUUUACUAUUGAGCACUAACGUUUUCCAAGCAUUUUCUUGCAUACUGGAUCUCGCAGGUUUGCGAUGGACUUUUUCAACUCUGAAAACUUUCUGAUUUAUCCACUGAGUCACAUUCUUGUCACUCUACUGAACAUGUACAGUAUUCCAUGAGGCUGGGAUGAGGUUUUAGCUGCUAUUGAAAAGCCCAUGGCCUGGAAUGACCACACUUCAUUUCUGCAGAGAUGCCUGUGCCAACAGGGCCAAGAGGUCACUGACAGCAGGUAGGAGAUGGAUUUGGAGUUCCUGGGUCUCUCUCUGGUCUUGGUAAUUGUAACUGUACUGGCCUCUCCAACGGUUGUUUUCUUAACUGAAAUUGCCGUAGUUUUUCACUUUGAAACAUCUAGGCUGUAUUCACACACCAAUGUUUAUAGUGGCUGUCUUAUCCCGUUAGGGCUGCUAUAAUAAAAUACCAUACUGAGUGGCUAUUCAGAACAGA
This 1207-nucleotide long non-coding RNA is filed under the name Homo sapiens (human). RNAcentral describes it as "HSALNT0329499". Lineage: Eukaryota; Metazoa; Chordata; Mammalia; Primates; Hominidae. The record is from RNAcentral.